Molecule: ribosomal RNA, 371 nt
Filed under: Liturgusa sp. MN116
Lineage: Eukaryota; Metazoa; Arthropoda; Insecta; Mantodea; Liturgusidae
Description: partial 12S ribosomal RNA
Source: RNAcentral
AUACCCUAUUAUUUUUAAUGUAAAUUAUAAAUACUAAAGUAUUAUUAGAUAAGGUCUUUAAACUUAAAGAAUUUGGCGGUAUUAUAGUCUAUUUAGAGGAAUCUGUUAUGUAAUUGAUAGUCCACGUUGAACCUUACUUAUUUUAUUUCUUGUAUAUCGCUGUUUAAGAAUAUAUUUUUAGAUUAUUUUCUAGAUUAUUAAUUUUUUAAUAUUUCAAGUCAAGGUGCAGUUAUAAAUAAGUUGAGUAAUGGAUUACAAUAAAUUUUAUUUACAUGGAUUGUUAUUUAAAUAUAAUUUGAAGGUGGAUUUAUUUGUAAAUUUUUGAAGACUGUAGUUUUGAUUAAUGGCUCUAUAAUAUGUACACAUCGCCC